UUUUGCCAUUUCUUGGGCCUCUCCCGCGGCAUAUGGAGGGUCCCAGGCUAGGGGUCUAAUCGGAGCUGAAGCUGCCAGCCUACACCAGAGCCACAGCAAUGUGGGAUCCGAGCCGCAUCUGUGACCUACACCACAGCUCACGGCAAUGCCAGAUCGUUAACCCACUAGCAAGGGCAGGGAUAGAACCUGCAACCUCAUGGUUCUUAGUCGGACUCGUUAACCACUGCGCCACGACGGGAACUCCAGUUUUCUAAUAAUAUGAAAAAUAUAUUUUUCUCAUUGAAAGUUUUCAUACAAUUUUGAAAUGAAGAAAUCUGAUGCCUUCAGCCAUGUUCUUCUUGCUAAAGAUUGCUUUGGCCUUUUGUGACUCAAAUUAAUUUUAGUAUGUUUAGUCUAUUUCUGUAGAGAAUGCCAUUGGGUUUUGGAUAAAGAUUGCACUGAAUCUGUAGAUCACUUUGGGUACACAGAGAUUUGAACAAGAUUAAUUCUCCCAAUCCAUAAACCCAGGAUGUCUUUCCAUUUUUUGUGUCUCCUUUAAUUUUCUUCAUCAGUGUUUAAUAAUGUCCAGUGUACAAGUUUUUCACCUCUUAGGUUAGUUUCAAUCCUAAAUAUUUUAUUAUUUUGGUUGUUAUUGUGAAUGGGAAUAUUAUCUUCAUUUCCUUUUCAAAUACUUCAUUGUGUACAUAAAGUCUACAGAUGAAUGAGUGGACAAAGAAAAUGUGUUAAAUAUUAGAUGUUUAUACAUAGCAUGCAUAUUGGAAUAUAUGUAAUAUAAUAUAUAUAAUAUUAUUUAGCCUUAAAAAUGAAAAAAAAAAAAUCUACCAUUUGACGAAACUUUCUAUCUAAAAAGAGAAAAAUCCUGCCAUUUGAUAACAUAGAUAAAUCUGGAGGAUAUUAUGUUAAGGAAAAUAAGCCAAACACAGAAAUCAAGUACUGAGUGAUGUCACUUAUAUGUGGACUCUAAAAUAGUCAAACUCAAAAGAAGCAGAAAGUAGAAUGGUGGCAGUCAGGGCCUGGGGCAAGGGAAAAUGCGGAGAUAUUAAUUAAAGGAUAUAAAGUUUCAAUUACACAAGUGCUGUAGAUCUAAUGCACAGCAAUGUGACUAAUACUGUACCGCAUGCUUGAAAUUUGCUAAAAGGGUAGAUCUCACCUCCCCACACAGACACAGACACAGACACAAACACACACACACACGCACACGCAGACACACACACACAAGAAAAUGGGGACUAUGUGAGGAAAGAAGUACGUUAAUUAGCUCGAGUGAGGUUAUUAUUUCGCAAUGUAUUUCAAAACAUUAGGUUGUACAUCUAAAGUAUAUAUAGUAUUUGCUUGUCAACUACACUUCAAUAAAGCUGGAACAAUGUCUUUAUAAAAUUUUUAAAUUUUUGUAAAUUAUUUUUGUAGAUCAGAAUUCUUUUUCUAAUUGUUCUGCUUAGAAGUUACUACUUUUUGCUUUCUUCUCUGCUCACCUGAAUUUGUUUUCCUUCUCUAUCCCAUAUGAAUUUGAGUUGUUUCAUAUCUCCAAGAAAGAAAAACCUAUUAUUUAUCUUCCCAUUAAUAUUCCUUCAAAGAUAACCUUUUUAAAAAUUCUUUUUCAUAAGACUUUUGUCAUAACCUUUUAUAAAAAUGAGUACUUUAAGUUGUGGAUUAAAUAAUGGUUAACAAAUAUAAGUACUAUAAUUCAAUGAUAAAUCACGUUUGCUCUACAACACUGCUUUUUAAGCCUAGAUUUUUGAGGAUUACAAAACACUUUUACAUACAUUAUUUCAUCUGUUCUUUAUAAUAACAAUCAGUGUUGUGCUAAUAAAUGCUAAUAAACUGGCUUUUAAAAAAAGCCCUGAUUCAUAAUGCAUGACAAUCUCUGUGGCAUAAUACUCCCACCAUGGCCAAUUUCAACCAACUAAUGAUUUAAAAGUGGUUUGUAAAGUUCAUGAAUAUUUAACAGUCGGCUCUUGCCAGCCACACAGCUUCAGCACAUUGCUGGAUUUUGGGAUGUAUAUCCACAUUUUUUCAAAGAAAAACAAGAGCCAAGACAAACAGUAACUUUUUCUAAAUCACAUAGCUAGGAUGACACUUCAGGUCAUCCCAUUCCAAACCAUAUGCUCUUUUCAUAUAAUAAAUCUACCUCUUUAUUCAUAAUAAUGCAAAUUUUCACUAAGUGCAUUAUUAUGGGGCCCUUGCCUAUUCAUAAAAAAAUUGUGGGUACAUACAGAUUAAAACACAUUUUUAAAAAUAAUAUGAAUUUCUAGAUAAAACCAAAUGAUUAUUUUUAAAUGAAGCAGGACAGCCAACAGCAAAGCUUUUAGAUAUUAAUAUCUACCAACACCAUUUUUUCUGCAAUAAAAAUGUUAUGGAAAUUUACCAUGAGCACUGUGGUUUGUAGGACAUUGAAUGAGAGCAAAGAAUAGCCCUUUAGCCAUGGUUUUAUGAAAUAUAGAAACCAAAUAGUUUUUCCAUAGAUAUUCAAAGGUAAGUCAUCUUAUUUAUUUACUCAUAACUCAAUGGAAAUAAUUAAGAUUAAGAUGGAGUAGAUUAGUAGGAAAAUAAUAAAACAGCCCAGAGAGACAAUCCUUCUAGGCAUUGUUUUUUAACUUAGACUGGCCAGAAAUGACAUGUCUUAAAAACAAUUUUUAUCCAAAACAAGUUGACAAUCCAAAUCCUUUUACAGCCCUAUUAGACCACUUGCCUGCAAUUCUCAAUAAAAUGAUUUGUAAAACCUUUAAUUUAAAGACAGAAGCAAGAAUUACUUUAUAUUUGGAGACUGAACAACAGGAGAGUAUGGUUGUUCAGAAAACAAUCAGAGCACUUUAGCCCAAAAACAAGUAACAGAAUUUCUCAUAAGGAAAGGGUAUUAUUUCAUAUUUCUGGAAUAAGCUUGGAAGUUGCUCUUCUUACAUACCCCCCCCAAAAAAACCAUUAUUCUAUUAGUCAUUCAUUUAGUUAUUCAUCCUUUCAACAAAUAAUCUGUAAUCACCUACUUACUAAAGCCCGGGUUUCAUGUUGGAAGCUGAUGAUAAAAUCUGCAGUCUAAUCCUAACAUGCUUGAAAGAAAGAGACAUUUUCCACUUGAAAGAAGACUACAUUGUUUUAAAAAUUGAGGUGGGACAUUUAUCUGAUGGGUUAAAAUUUAAAGAAAUGUUUCCCAUCAAUUUUUAGAGAAGAACUUAAAUCUGGUGCUGCUCCUUAUGUUCUCAUCCAUUCAUCCCAGGUGUCCCAGAGACCAAUGUCCUACCCAGAUCAAUAGAAACUUGGAGUAUGUCAGGGUAGAUAUUUUAGCACCUAUCACUUUCACAAAUCAGAAGAGAGUGAAGGCACCUCUUUGGCUACAGUGUUCACUCAGUCUGCCUAGCUUUUCUCUCUGGAGCCACACUGACAAGGUCAGUUUCCCCUGUUGGUGACUUCAUCAUAAACAUUUCAAACGUAUCAUCUGUUGCCCAGGAGCCAAAAUGUUUUGCACCUAAGACAACCUGUACAAUGAUGACCAACUUGAGAGGCUCAUUCUCCUUCGUAAUUAAGUUUGAUCUGGGGGUGUGCUUCUGAAUCUCCUGUUGCUUUGGGACUUCAGCUGUGCCAGUUUUGAUUAAAAACACAUCCAGACUGUAUUAUGAUACCCUGCUAUGAUCAGCACUACUUUCUAAGUGCACUGAAGUUUCAACUGAUAGAAAAUUCAUCAACUAAUUGCAUAUCAUCUAAAUAAAAUUAAAUGUGGUUUUGUUCUCAAAUAUAAAAAAGAUCAAAUGUACGUGGAAUCAUUAACACUAAUACCAAAGCAAACCAAAUUAAGUCAGUCUAUAGGAGACUUAUUUAAGCAAUCCUACUAAGGUGUAUUCCUUUAUAAAAUCAAAUGAAUGCUUUGCAUAAAACACUUUUUUAGUGGUGGUUCUAAUAACCAACAAGUCGGUUAUGACAUGGCAAGGAGACUUCUCUAAGCACAAACUGCCAUUAUGGGGAGUUAGGAGUCCAAGCGUAAAGACUGGGAGUUUCUUAGUUUCUUUCUUUCUUUCUUCCUUUCUUCCUUCCUUCCUUCCUUCCUUCCUUCCUUCCUUCCUUCCUUUCUUUCCUCUCUCUCUCUCUCUCUUUUUUAGAGCCACACUCGAGGCAUAUGGAAGUUCCCCAACACCGGAUCCUCAACCCACUAAGCAAGGCCAUGAUCCCCUUUAAGUCCUCCAUCCUGUGGAGAUUUCUUUGAAGCUUAAAAGAUUCAAUCCUUUCCUUGUAUCUUUAUUGGCAAAUAUUCUUGGAGUGGUAUCUUCACAAUAUAAAAGUGUGGCAAUGUUUGUUAAGACUGUAAAUAUCUAGAGGGUAGAAUCUCUUUCUUAUAUUACAUAGUGGAUGCUUUUGGUUCUACACCAAAAUACGCUUUACAUGCCAGUUCAUCUAGCCCUAACCCAAUUAAAUGCUAACUAACACUGCCCCAUUUCUUUUCUAACAAAUGACUUCAUGCAAAAGGAGUCCCCCACACCCACACAGAGCUGACCUCAGUCCAGAACUGACUGACACAGGGGUAUGAAGGUAGGACAGAGUCUACAGCGCAAGUUGUGCUCUAGAGCUUCCCUGAGAUCAGACCAAAGCUGAGCCCAAAUUGAAACUACUUCCUGGCUUACCUUUCCUCCUCUGCCCCAUCCUCAUACUUCAUGCCCUUCCCCUGAGAACACUCAAACAAAAAUCCCUGUCUCAGGCUCUGCUUCUAGAUGUUAACUUGGCACAUGGCAUGUUUUUGAGAAAUAUUUAUUGAGAUGAAAUCCAAAGCAUACCAAUUAUAAAAAUUAUUAGUCUUAACAAAAAUCCAUCUAAAAGAACAGGUGUGUGUGUGUGUGUGUGUGUGUGUGUUUAAUUGAAAUAAUAUGUCUAAACAUAAUAGUUGAAAUAAUUUACCUUUUUUCAAUAAGGGAAAUUAGUGUAAUAUACAUUCCCAGGAGGCAUAAAAGCUGAUGCAUACUUAAAUGUACUCUAUUAUCUUUAUAUCAUUUACUCUACAGGGAGUAGUCAGUAUCUUAACUGGUAAUAAAAUGACUUGAAUUGAUUUUCUUGUAUUUAAAAAUAAUCAUCAUAGCUGAAACAAUUAAAAAGAAAAACGCAUAACUGGGUUUUGUGCAAAUCAUAUUUAUUAAUAGAGCUCAGUUUUAUUAUUGGACUUUAUUAUGAAAAAAUGUCAGAAUAAUAACACAUUCUGAAAUUUAAUCAUACCCAAAUCUUUGGUCAUUUUUGAUAAUGAAAAUGGUAAAGAACAGACAUCCUUGAAGAAUCAAGACUGAUUUCUUUAAUAUGACUACCUCUUGUUUAAUUAUAUUCCGAGAUGAAAGUUAUUAGUGCAAUAUCAGCCCCAUGUUGAGUAAUUUCAUCACAUGGAUCUACACCAAGGACAAAAGCAGGGAAGAUGAUGAAGAAUUGUUCUCAUAUCUGAACAUACUUUUAGUAUUUA
RNAcentral lists this long non-coding RNA (5425 nucleotides) under Sus scrofa (pig). RNAcentral's name for it is "lncRNA (ENSSSCG00000056300.1)". Lineage: Eukaryota; Metazoa; Chordata; Mammalia; Artiodactyla; Suidae. The record is from RNAcentral.